UUUCCCUGACUUUCCUCCAGCUCGGAAUGAUUUUAAAAACCAAUUGAUUGAAUCAGUUUAUCAGGCACUCAUGAGAAGAAAUCAAGCCCUUUGUUUCUCUGGGCUAAGAUUGACGAUGAGCUCACGGCGACGACGGACGACCGAUAAACUAUUGGCAAGCAGCUGUCGAUGUAAUAGUGGGCGGUCUAGACUGAUCGACGACCUGCGAUGACGGCGGCGGACUGUAGUGCCUCGAUUUGAAGGAGUUCUGGAAAUUCGGACGAAAAAUAAUGGGAUUAACGGCGCACCAUAACCGUGGAGAUCGAGCUGGUCUCUGGCGAUUGAAUCAAGGAUCAAAGAGAGAGGCUUGGACUCAGCGGCAACUUCUUGGUAACUGGAACACCGAAAUGAAGAUGCGACGAUCAGGAAGCGGCGACCACAAAGGAAGGUUCGUCGAGAAGGAGCUCGGAGCCGGGAGCUACGGCGGUUGCUCUUGGACUCCGGACCAGCGAAGAGGCCUUCGGUUGAUGUCGGCAACCAUCACUGGCUAGUGGCGGUGGGAUCCGAGGGUGAUCGGCGAAACCUGGAGCGAUCCAAGAAUCAUGGAGUUGUCGGCGUUCUCUACACCGUGGGAACCAAUUGGAGAAGAUAGCCUUUUUGCUAUUAAGAUAAGUAUAGUGACUAUUUUUUCAAUUUCCGUAAAGUUGGGGUUCAAUGGCUAAAUCAUACUUCUUGGAAAGUUAGGUGAUUGGAACAUCACUUUCUGUUUGAUAGGGAUGAAUCUGCGGAUGACUGGACUUGGAGGAUUAAAUCUGGAAAUUGCCAACUGGGAUUUGAAAGGACAGUUUCGUCCCUGAGAGUUUUAACGGGUUGCAAACAAGUAAACAAGGCAUAACUGGACCGUUUGAGCUUCAAACGAUGCACCGCCAGAAGCUAGUUCUGUGCCAAUAAGGGUAAUAAUCUCGCAUCUGAUUCUGAGAUUUUAGCUCUUCAAUGAGGUGGGUUGGUUUAAAGGGGAUAAUAUCUUUUCGUUGCUAUAGUUAGAUUAUGUUUUAUUAAUUUGAUUGAUUUAAACGAUUUUAUGAUAACGUGUUUACGUUAUCUUUAUGAUAAUUCAUUUUAUGUGCAAGUGACAUGCCUUUAGAUCAUGAUAAGGCUAGACUAAUGAUAAGGUUAGUCUAACGUUAAUGUUAUAAUUAUGACAGGGAUAGAUGACAAGUGUGCAGCGAACAAGAACACCAAACUUAGAUAAUUAAUAGGAGGAUUAAAAGCAUGAACUCACUACCUAGACUAUCGCCCACCUAAUUAAUAUGUUGUCUGACGGAUACGUUCUCCCAGACAUCCAUGAUUUGUUUGACAAAUAUGUUCUCCCAGACAUCCAAGAUUUCAUGAUUUGGGCGCUAGGGCUAGUUAGUUGAGUUUGGGGACACCCCACAAGAGUUAAGAUAUAUUGGAUAAGGUUAAGAACAACUACAAGAAUAAGAGUCAUAUGUUUGAUUUCUACGAACAUGAUGUUAUGAUACUACAAGUUACAAUAACCACGAUACUUUGAUUCAUAAUGAACCUAACUUGAUUGAGUUGUGUUCCAAUCUAUAUUGAUGAUAACGUGUUGAUAUAUACAUGUUAUGAUUAAUGUUACAUGUUUCUAUGUCAUGAUUACGUGUUCAUGUAUACAUGUUAUGAUUAAUGUUACAUGUUGGCUAGGAUUACAUAAAGAUAAUUCUUUUAUGUAAUAUGUCUACUAGAAAAUGUAACGAUAGCUAUGCAUUAAUGUGUUGUUUGUAUACCAAUAUUUGUUGGAAUUCUGAUUUAAUGUUAGAGUACGAAAUACUAACCCCGAACUACCCACCAGGGUGUUUUGAAAGUUGAUGCAGGAGCACAGUGGAGCAGAUUCGGGAUGUGGCAAAAGUGGACUUGGACUUUGAAAAGGAUUAUUUAAGAUUUUAUGAAACUGGUUUUUAACCAUUCAUGGUAUAGUUUUUUUUGAAAGUAAGCUCAAAGUCUUAUAGAUCAAUGCUUAAUCGAGCGGCAGCUAGUGCCAAGUACAUCCGUGAGCCCGUCGGGAGGUGUAGACCCCGUG
Molecule: long non-coding RNA, 2059 nt
Filed under: Linum usitatissimum (flax)
Lineage: Eukaryota; Viridiplantae; Streptophyta; Magnoliopsida; Malpighiales; Linaceae
Description: long non-coding RNA (LUSI_LNC004965)
Source: RNAcentral